UCCCAAACGGCUCGUUGGUAAAGAAUCUGCCUGCAAAGCGGGAGACCCAGGUUCGAUCCCUGGGUUGGGAA
This 71-nucleotide transfer RNA is filed under the name Ovis aries (sheep). It matches the Rfam family "tRNA". From Rfam's summary of the family: Transfer RNA (tRNA) molecules are approximately 80 nucleotides in length. Their secondary structure includes four short double-helical elements and three loops (D, anti-codon, and T loops). The record is from Rfam by way of RNAcentral. Lineage: Eukaryota; Metazoa; Chordata; Mammalia; Artiodactyla; Bovidae.